Molecule: ribosomal RNA, 253 nt
Filed under: uncultured bacterium
Lineage: Bacteria
Description: partial 16S ribosomal RNA
Rfam family: Bacterial small subunit ribosomal RNA
Source: RNAcentral
UACGGAGGAUGCAAGCGUUAUCCGGAAUGAUUGGGCGUAAAGCGUCCGCAGGUGGCUGUGUAAGUCUGCUGUUAAAGAGUCUAGCUCAACUAGAUAAAAGCAGUGGAAACUACACGGCUAGAGUACGUUCGGGGCAGAGGGAAUUCCUGGUGUAGCGGUGAAAUGCGUAGAUAUCUGGAGGAACACCGGUGGCGAAGGCGGCAUCCUGGACCGGUAUUGACGCUGAGGCGCGAAAGCCAGGGGAGCAAACGGG